Molecule: non-coding RNA, 137 nt
Organism: Caenorhabditis elegans
Lineage: Eukaryota; Metazoa; Nematoda; Chromadorea; Rhabditida; Rhabditidae
Source: Ensembl
CGCUGCUUCUCCAAUUUUUUCCUUUUGCCCCCCGAAAGAGAAUUCGAAGAAGUUGUUUGUUGCGCACAGAUAUGCGGGUCCUCUGGAUUCUUCAUGAGCUUUUGGAAGUAUUACAAUCCGCGGCGACACGUCAUUUA